This 796-nucleotide ribosomal RNA is filed under the name uncultured bacterium. RNAcentral describes it as "bacterial SSU rRNA". It matches the Rfam family "Bacterial small subunit ribosomal RNA", at positions 8 to 796 of the family's 1533-position model. The record is from RNAcentral.
AGAGUUUGAUCAUGGCUCAGAUUGAACGCUGGCGGCGUGCUUUACACAUGCAAGUCGAACGGUAACGCGGGGGCAACCCUGGCGACGAGUGGCGAACGGGUGAGUAAUACAUCGGAACAUGUCCUGGAGUGGGGGGAUAGCUCGGCGAAAGCCGGAUUAAUACCGCAUACGCUCUGAGGAGGAAAGCGGGGGACCCGCAAGGCCUCGCGCUGCAGGAGUGGCCGAUGUCGGAUUAGCUAGUUGGUGAGGUAAAGGCUCACCAAGGCGACGAUCCGUAGCUGGUCUGAGAGGAUGAUCAGCCACACUGGGGACUGAGACACGGCCCAGACUCCUACGGGAGGCAGCAGUGGGGAAUUUUUGGACAAUGGGGGGCAACCCUGAUCCAGCCAUGCCGCGUGAGUGAAGAAGGCCUUCGGUGUAAAGCUCUUUCGGACGGAACGAAAUGGUUACAGUGAAUAACUGUGAUUGAUGACGGUACCGUAAGAAGAAGCACCGGCUAACUACGUGCCAGCAGCCGCGGUAAUACGUAGGGUGCGAGCGUUAAUCGGAAUUACUGGGCGUAAAGCGUGCGCAGGCGGUUCGCCAAGUCAGGUGUGAAAUCCCCGGGCUUAACCUGGGAAUUGCGCUUGAAACUAGCGGGCUUGAGUGUGGCAGAGGGGGGUGGAAUUCCACGUGUAGCAGUGAAAUGCGUAGAGAUGUGGAGGAACACCGAUGGCGAAGGCAGCCCCCUGGGUCAACACUGACGCUCAUGCACGAAAGCGUGGGGAGCAAACAGGAUUAGAUACCCUAGUAGUCC